GAACCCCGGACCCUGUCCGGCUUCUUAAGUCCAACCCAGAGCGACUCUGGCUGGGUACGCGAGAUUCAGUCCAGGCAAAAAAAAAAAAAAAAAAAAAAAAGUCGAAUAAAAUCUGGAAGCUCAUAACGCAAAGACUGCAAAGCUGGGAUCUCACAGAGACUUGCCCGCCACCGCCAGAGACAGCUGGACGGCAGCGAACGAACCCAAGGGCCUCGGCAGUGAUCUAACCUAGACUCUGCCAAUCAAAAUACAUCUGUGCCACAAUUUGAAUGAAGAUCUGUAAAGGAAGAUAUAUGUCCAAGCCUACAGAAUUCAUGUCCUUGAACAGAACUGGCUCAAUGAAAUUAUCACCAGAGUGUGGGGAAAGCAGCAAUAACUACAGAUACAAGGGCAUCCUGUAA
RNAcentral lists this long non-coding RNA (401 nucleotides) under Mustela putorius furo (domestic ferret). Its description in RNAcentral is "lncRNA (ENSMPUG00000027477.1)". The record is from RNAcentral. Lineage: Eukaryota; Metazoa; Chordata; Mammalia; Carnivora; Mustelidae.